RNAcentral lists this ribosomal RNA (484 nucleotides) under uncultured bacterium. Its description in RNAcentral is "partial 16S ribosomal RNA". It matches the Rfam family "Bacterial small subunit ribosomal RNA", at positions 30 to 507 of the family's 1533-position model. The record is from RNAcentral.
AUUGAACGCUGGCGGCAGGCCUAACACAUGCAAGUCGAGCGGAUGACGGGAGCUUGCUCCUGGAUUCAGCGGCGGACGGGUGAGUAAUGCCUAGGAAUCUGCCUGGUAGCGGGGGAUAACGUCCGGAAACGGGCGCUAAUACCGCAUACGUCCUGAGGGAGAAAGUGGGGGAUCUUCGGACCUCACGCUAUCAGAUGAGCCUAGGUCGGAUUAGCUAGUUGGUGGGGUAAAGGCCUACCAAGGCGACGAUCCGUAACUGGUCUGAGAGGAUGAUCAGUCACACUGGAACUGAGACACGGUCCAGACUCCUACGGGAGGCAGCAGUGGGGAAUAUUGGACAAUGGGCGAAAGCCUGAUCCAGCCAUGCCGCGUGUGUGAAGAAGGUCUUCGGAUUGUAAAGCACUUUAAGUUGGGAGGAAGGGCAGUAAGUUAAUACCUUGCUGUUUUGACGUUACCAACAGAAUAAGCACCGGCUAACUUCGUG